UACGGGGGAGCAAGCGUUGUUCGGAUUUACUGGGCGUAAAGGGCGCGUAGGCGGCGUGACAAGUCACUUGUGAAAUCUCCGGGCUUAACUCGGAACGGUCAAGUGAUACUGUCGUGCUAGAGUACAGAAGGGGCAACUGGAAUUCUCGGUGUAGCGGUGAAAUGCGUAGAUAUCGGGAGGAACACCAGUAGCGAAGGCGGCUCGCUGGCCAUUCCUGACGCUGAGUACGCGAAAGCUAGGGA
This 242-nucleotide ribosomal RNA is filed under the name uncultured bacterium. RNAcentral describes it as "partial 16S ribosomal RNA". It matches the Rfam family "Bacterial small subunit ribosomal RNA", at positions 524 to 766 of the family's 1533-position model. The record is from RNAcentral.